This 456-nucleotide ribosomal RNA is filed under the name uncultured organism. RNAcentral's name for it is "partial 16S ribosomal RNA". It matches the Rfam family "Bacterial small subunit ribosomal RNA", at positions 329 to 801 of the family's 1533-position model. The record is from RNAcentral.
ACGUACACUCCUGCGGGAGGCAGCAGUGGGGAAUAUUGGACAAUGGGCGCAAGCCUGAUCCAGCCAUGCCGCGUGAGUGAUGAAGGCCCUAGGGUUGUAAAGCUCUUUCACCGGUGAAGAUAAUGACGGUAACCGGAGAAGAAGCCCCGGCUAACUUCGUGCCAGCAGCCGCGGUAAUACGAAGGGGGCUAGCGUUGUUCGGAUUUACUGGGCGUAAAGCGCACGUAGGCGGACUAUUAAGUCAGGGGUGAAAUCCCGGGGCUCAACCCCGGAACUGCCUUUGAUACUGGUAGUCUUGAGUUCGAGAGAGGUGAGUGGAAUUCCAAGUGUAGAGGUGAAAUUCGUAGAUAUUCGGAGGAACACCAGUGGCGAAGGCGGCUCACUGGCUCGAUACUGACGCUGAGGUGCGAAAGCGUGGGGAGCAAACAGGAUUAGAUACCCGUGUAGUCCCAUGAU